This 333-nucleotide ribosomal RNA is filed under the name Vibrio sp. KR10-05. Its description in RNAcentral is "bacterial SSU rRNA". It matches the Rfam family "Bacterial small subunit ribosomal RNA", at positions 1112 to 1445 of the family's 1533-position model. Lineage: Bacteria; Pseudomonadati; Pseudomonadota; Gammaproteobacteria; Vibrionales; Vibrionaceae. The record is from RNAcentral.
UGUUUNCCAGCGAGUCAUGUCGGGAACUCCAGGGAGACUGCCGGUGAUAAACCGGAGGAAGGUGGGGACGACGUCAAGUCAUCAUGGCCCUUACGAGUAGGGCUACACACGUGCUACAAUGGCGCAUACAGAGGGCAGCCAACUUGCGAAAGUGAGCGAAUCCCAAAAAGUGCGUCGUAGUCCGGAUUGGAGUCUGCAACUCGACUCCAUGAAGUCGGAAUCGCUAGUAAUCGUAGAUCAGAAUGCUACGGUGAAUACGUUCCCGGGCCUUGUACACACCGCCCGUCACACCAUGGGAGUGGGCUGCAAAAGAAGUGGGUAGUUAACCUCGGG